CCUACCUUUUUCACCCCGAAUCGCUUGCUGCCAUCUGCUGUGAUGUUUGGUUCGUUGCCCAGCCGGGUGAUGGACCCGCUUGAGAAUCGGGAUCCGAAGCCAUGGCUUACGCUGCUGUUCCGGCCGCCGC
Molecule: unclassified non-coding RNA, 130 nt
Filed under: plant metagenome
Description: partial contains 5.8S ribosomal RNA, internal transcribed spacer 2, and large subunit ribosomal RNA
Source: RNAcentral